Molecule: non-coding RNA, 73 nt
Organism: Danio rerio (zebrafish)
Lineage: Eukaryota; Metazoa; Chordata; Actinopteri; Cypriniformes; Danionidae
Source: Rfam
CCCUGGCUAGCUCAGUUGGUAGGGCAUGAGACUCUUAAUCUCAAGGUUGUGGCUUCAUCCCCCACGUUGGGCG